This 458-nucleotide ribosomal RNA is filed under the name uncultured bacterium. RNAcentral's name for it is "bacterial SSU rRNA". It matches the Rfam family "Bacterial small subunit ribosomal RNA", at positions 8 to 507 of the family's 1533-position model. The record is from RNAcentral.
AGAGUUUGAUCCUGGCUCAGGAUAAACGCUGGCGGCGUGCCUAACACAUGCAAGUCGAACGAUCCCGCAAGGGAGAGUGGCGGAAGGGUGAGUAACACGUGGGGAAUCUACCUCCUCGCAGGGAACAACCUCUCGAAAGAGAGGCUAAUACCCAAAAGGGUCAGAAAUGAUCAGAGUCGAAAGGCGUGAGGAGAGGAGCCCGCGGCCCAUCAGCUAGUUGGUGAGGUAAUGGCUUACCAAGGCUACGACGGGUAGGGGAUCUGAGAGGAUGUCCCCCACACUGGAACUGAAACACGGUCCAGACGCCUACGGGUGGCAGCAGUGAGGAAUGUUGGACAAUGGGCGAAAGCCCGAUCCAGCAACGCCGCGUGGAGGAUGAAGGCCUUCGGGUCGUAAACUUCUUUAGAGGGAGACGAGAAAGGACGGUAUCCCUAGAAUAAGCGACGGCAAACUACGUG